CAAAAUUUGUGACCAUGUCUGUGAUGACUAAAUCUGUUACUGAAGGUUGUGACAGAUCAGUGACCAAACUUGUGACCGAAUUCUGUGACAAAAUCAGUGACCAAGUUACCUUCGUUACUAACUCAAUGACUGGUUAGUGACGGGAAAUACAAAAUUUUUUAAAUAUUUAAUUCUUAGAUUUGUAACGGCUUAGUGACGGUGGUUCUGUCACGGAGUUUAGUGACGGAAAUUGCCGCCGUCACUGAGAAUUUAGUGACGCGUGUUUUUGUAACCAAUUCAGUGACGGAAGCUCCGGUCACAAAUUUUGUAUUAGUAACCGGAAACACGGUAUAGUGACGGGAAUCUCC
RNAcentral lists this long non-coding RNA (347 nucleotides) under Phoenix dactylifera (date palm). Its description in RNAcentral is "long non-coding RNA (PDAC_LNC016193)". The record is from RNAcentral. Lineage: Eukaryota; Viridiplantae; Streptophyta; Magnoliopsida; Arecales; Arecaceae.